GCAGCCGUAGCCCAAGGAGCAGCCGAAGUCGUAGUCGUAGCCCCAGACGUAGAAGUAGAAGUAGAAGCUACGAGAGAAGACCACCACGCAAGUCUAAAUUUGAUCAGAUGGCACCAAGUGCUGAUGUGUUGGUUCCCUCUGAAUCUAUAGCAGCAGAGCAGCUUCCUUAUGUUGCAUCAAGCAUGGACCAGCCGAUCAAUCCUCUAUUGGAACCCUCGUCUGACAGAGAUGCUGCUGCUGGACUCUAAUUCUAAAGGUGAAGGUUAAGAUUUUUUGUUUGAUGGAUUAUAAAAAAAAAAUAGCUAUUGUGGUUGGGGACUCCUCUUGACAAUUUUGGCAGAGAGACUCUUUGUAGAAGCAAAAUCAAAAUGGGAAGCGCCGUGCUUUAGUGCUAUGAUCUACAUUCUACAGUUGGUGUGCACUGGAGGAGCAGGAGUCAUUAAUGUUUCUUUUGUAUUGCCCAGGGGUAAAAUAUAAUAUAUAUAUAUAUAUGUAUGUAUAUCCACCCCCUCCCCUCCCCUCCCCUUUACUUUUCAGUUUAUCUUCUACACAUUUGACUGUUUUAGAUGUACUUUGAUGAUGUGGCAUGCAUUGUUUGUUGGGGACUUGACCUAAAUUCUUGACCUCG
RNAcentral lists this long non-coding RNA (628 nucleotides) under Erythranthe guttata (spotted monkey flower). Its description in RNAcentral is "long non-coding RNA (EGUT_LNC002666)". Lineage: Eukaryota; Viridiplantae; Streptophyta; Magnoliopsida; Lamiales; Phrymaceae. The record is from RNAcentral.